This 630-nucleotide ribosomal RNA is filed under the name uncultured Cytophagales bacterium. RNAcentral's name for it is "bacterial SSU rRNA". It matches the Rfam family "Bacterial small subunit ribosomal RNA", at positions 9 to 632 of the family's 1533-position model. The record is from RNAcentral. Lineage: Bacteria; Pseudomonadati; Bacteroidota; Sphingobacteriia; Sphingobacteriales.
GAGUUUGAUCCUGGCUCAGGAUGAACGCUAGCGGCAGGCCUAAUACAUGCAAGUCGAACGGUUGGUGGCAAUACCAAUAGUGGCGCACGGGUGCGUAACGCGUAACCAACCUACCCGAAUCUGGGGGAUAGCCCGCCGAAAGGCGGAUUAAUACCGCAUAAAACUGCAGCCUGGCAUCAGGUAACAGUUAAAGAUUUAUUGGAUUCGGAUGGGGUUGCGUGCCAUUAGCUAGUUGGCGGGGUAACGGCCCACCAAGGCGACGAUGGCUAGGGGAGCUGAGAGGCUGGUCCCCCACACGGGCACUGAGAUACGGGCCCGACUCCUACGGGAGGCAGCAGUAGGGAAUAUUGGGCAAUGGACGCGAGUCUGACCCAGCCAUGCCGCGUGCAGGAUGAAGGCUUUCUGAGUCGUAAACUGCUUUUACCAGGGAAGAAAAAAGGGGAUGCGUCCUCUACUGACGGUACCUGGUGAAUGAGCACCGGCUAACUCCGCGCCAGCAGCCCGCGGUAAUACGGAGGGUGCAAACGUUUGUCCGGAUUUAUUGGGUUUUAAAAGGGUGGCGUANGCNGCUUGAUUUAANUCUGGGGGUGGGAAACCCCGUUGCUCAACAAACGGAACUGGCCCUGGAAA